Small nucleolar RNA from Talpa occidentalis (Iberian mole), 74 nucleotides. RefSeq annotates it as small nucleolar RNA SNORD113/SNORD114 family. The record is from RefSeq and is a predicted model, not a curated record. NCBI's taxonomy places the organism in Eukaryota, Metazoa, Chordata, Mammalia, Eulipotyphla, Talpidae. The transcript has a single exon.
UGGACCAGUGAUGACAACGGAUGCACAUGAGUCCUAUACAAUGGAUACUACAUUUCUGGAAUGCUGAGGUCCAA